UACCCGCGGCCCGAGUGGUGCUCAUUAUUAUUGAGCUUAAAGCGUCCGUAGCCGGCCUCGUAAAUCUUUGGGUAAAUCGAGCAGCUUAACUGUUCGAAUUCCGAGGAGACUGCGAGGCUCGGGACCGGGAGAGGUUCGAGGUACUCUCGGGGUAGGGGUAAAAUCCUGUAAUCCUGAGAGGACCACCAGUGGCGAAGGCGUCGAACUAGAACGGAUCCGACGGUGAGGGACGAAGCCCUGGGGCGCAAACGGG
Molecule: ribosomal RNA, 253 nt
Filed under: uncultured Thermogymnomonas sp.
Lineage: Archaea; Methanobacteriati; Thermoplasmatota; Thermoplasmata; Thermoplasmatales
Description: partial 16S ribosomal RNA
Rfam family: Archaeal small subunit ribosomal RNA
Source: RNAcentral